AGCAGCCGCGGUAAUUCCAGCUCCAAUAGCGUAUAUUAAAGUUGUUGCAGUUAAAAAGCUCGUAGUUGAAUUUCGGGAUCAAUUUAUCGGUCGUGCCUACGGUAUGAACUGGUACAAUUGAUUUCUCCCUUCUGAUGAAGCACGAUGUCAUUAACUUGGUGUCGUGGGGAAUCAGGACUGUUACUUUGAAAAAAUUAGAGUGUUUAAAGCAGGCCUUGGCUUGAAUACAUUAGCAUGGAAUAAUGAAAUAGGACGUUUGAUCCUAUUUCGUUGGUUUCUAGGAUCGACGUAAUGAUUAAUAGGGAUAGUUGGGGGCAUUAGUAUUCAAUUGUCAGAGGUGAAAUUCUUGGAUUUAUUGAAGACUAACUACUGCGAAAGCAUUUGCCAAGGAUGUUUUCAUUAAUCAAGAACGAAAGUUAGGGGAUCGAAGACGAUCAGAUACCGUCGUAG
RNAcentral lists this ribosomal RNA (450 nucleotides) under uncultured Glomeromycotina. RNAcentral describes it as "SSU rRNA". It matches the Rfam family "Eukaryotic small subunit ribosomal RNA", at positions 569 to 1023 of the family's 1831-position model. The record is from RNAcentral. Lineage: Eukaryota; Fungi; Glomeromycota.